This 429-nucleotide ribosomal RNA is filed under the name Chloroflexota bacterium. RNAcentral describes it as "Chloroflexi bacterium partial 16S ribosomal RNA". It matches the Rfam family "Bacterial small subunit ribosomal RNA", at positions 355 to 776 of the family's 1533-position model. Lineage: Bacteria; Bacillati; Chloroflexota. The record is from RNAcentral.
UGGGGAAUAUUGCACAAUGGGCGCAAGCCUGAUGCAGCCAUGCCGCGUGUAUGAAGAAGGCCUUCGGGUUGUAAAGUACUUUCAGCGGGGAGGAAGGGAGUAAAGUUAAUACCUUUGCUCAUUGACGUUACCCGCAGAAGAAGCACCGGCUAACUUCGUGCCAGCAGCCGCGUUAAUACGGAUGGUUCAAGCGUUAAUCGGAAUUACUGGGCGUAAAGCGCACGCAGGCGGGUUGUUAAGUCAGAUGUGAAAUACCCGGGGUCAAACUGGGAACUGCAUGGGAUACUGGCAAGCUUUGGGCUCGUAAAGGGGGGUAGAAUUCCAGGUGGAGCGGUGAAAAGCGGAGGAAUCUGGAGGAAUACCGGUGGCGAAGGCGGCCCCCUGGACGAAGACUGACGCUCAGGUGCGAAAGCGUGGGGAGCAAACAGG